GAUGAAGAACGUAGUGAAAUGCGAUAAGUAAUGUGAAUUGCAGAAUUCAGUGAAUCAUCGAAUCUUUGAACGCACCUUGCACCCUUUGGCAUUCCGAAGGGUAUGCUCGUUUGAGUGUCAUUGUACUCUCACUCUCCCGAUGCUUUUGGAUCGGGAGUGGUGGACUUGGGUGUUGCUGCUUUGCUGUGGCUCGCCUCAAAUGGAGUAGUGCAACUCUUGGUUGGACAUAGUACGGCGUGAUAAGUGUCUUCGCCGGCGCCUCAUUAUAGAGGGUGGCCGAUCGGGAGCUCUGUGCUUCAAACCGUCUUCGGACAACAUCUGACAACUUGACCUCAAAUCGAGUAGGACUACCCGCUGAACUUAAGCAUAUCAAUAGCGGAGGA
Molecule: unclassified non-coding RNA, 383 nt
Filed under: soil metagenome
Description: partial contains 5.8S ribosomal RNA, internal transcribed spacer 2, and large subunit ribosomal RNA
Rfam family: 5.8S ribosomal RNA (bases 1-120)
Source: RNAcentral